UGCGUAGGCGGCCCGGGAAGUUGGGUGUGAAAUCCCUCAGCUUAACUGAGGAAUUGCAUUCAAAAACUGCCGGGCUUGAGGGAGACAGAGGUGAGCGGAACUUAGGGUGGAGCGGUGAAAUGCGUUGAUAUCCUAAGGAACACCGGGGGCGAAAGCGGCUCACUGGGUCUUUUCUGACGCUGAGGCACGAAAGCUAGGGGAGCGAACGGGAUUAGAUACCCCGGUAGUCCUAGCCCUAAAGAUGAGCACUGGAUCGGAGAACAUCCCAUAGUUUUCUGGUCGUAGCAAAAGCGUUAAGUGCUCCGCCUGGGGAGUAUGGUCGCAAGGCUGAA
Molecule: ribosomal RNA, 332 nt
Filed under: uncultured bacterium
Lineage: Bacteria
Description: bacterial SSU rRNA
Rfam family: Bacterial small subunit ribosomal RNA
Source: RNAcentral